UGAUAGUUUUGUUCUCAGCUUAACAAAGACUUUUGUUUCUGUCUUGUACUAAUGUCUAGAAUUGUUCAAUUCAGUGACCUAGUUUUGAUCAGUGUUUCCAUGAUCCUUGUUUCUUGUAAGUUGGUCAUUUUUCCACAAAGUGUUUAUUCAUAGCUAAGGUCUUUAUAUACAACCCUGAUAUUUCACUGAGUCGCCUCUCAGAUUUAAACGUCGGGGAAACCAAUGAGGAUAGGAUAGACCUACAAAACAAGUUUCAGUACCCAAGUCCAGCAGCAGGAAAACUUGACACAGUGCAAACCAAUCCACUAUAGCAUCUAAGUUCCUCAAAUGUGGCUGGUGCUUACUUCAUAAUAAGCUCCAUGGGAUUCAUUAAGUGGAGUUCAUCCACAGAUUCUGUUUAGGGAGAGAUUCUCUUUGAGCUGACUUGGUACCUGUUCUGGUUUUUCCCAUAGGAAGUUAACAGAUACAAUUUUUGUGUCUCCUCAGAAUAUCUACAGCUCUGUAUUGAUUAAAAAACCUCAAACAACAACA
Neopsephotus bourkii (Bourke's parrot) is the source of this 531-nucleotide long non-coding RNA. RefSeq lists it as uncharacterized. NCBI's taxonomy places the organism in Eukaryota, Metazoa, Chordata, Aves, Psittaciformes, Psittacidae. The record is from RefSeq and is a predicted model, not a curated record. The transcript has 2 exons.